CCUACGGGAGGCAGCAGUGGGGAAUCUUGCGCAAUGGGGGCAACCCUGACGCAGCAACGCCGCGUGAUUGAAGAAGGCCUUCGGGUUGUAAAGAUCUUUAAUCGGGGACGAAUUUUGACGGUACCCGAAGAAUAAGCUCCGGCUAACUACGUGCCAGCAGCCGCGGUAAUACGUAGGGAGCAAGCGUUAUCCGGAUUUACUGGGUGUAAAGGGCGUGUAGGCGGGCAUGCAAGCCAGAAGUGAAAUCUGGGGGCUUAACCCCCAAACUGCUUUUGGAACUGCGUGUCUAGAGUGUGCGAGAGGUAUGCGGAAUGCGUGGUGUAGCGGUGAAAUGCAUAGAUAUCACGCAGAACCCCGAUUGCGAAGGCAGCAUACCGGUGCACAACUGACGCUCAGGCACGAAAGCGUGGGUAUCGAACAGGAUUAGAUACCCGAGUAGUC
This 441-nucleotide ribosomal RNA is filed under the name uncultured bacterium. Its description in RNAcentral is "partial 16S ribosomal RNA". It matches the Rfam family "Bacterial small subunit ribosomal RNA", at positions 338 to 795 of the family's 1533-position model. The record is from RNAcentral.